UACGGAGGGUGCGAGCGUUAUUCGGAAUUACUGGGCGUAAAGCGCGUGUAGGCGGCUUGGCAAGUCUGAUGUGAAAGCCCUGGGCUCAACCUGGGAAGUGCAUUGGAAACUGCUUGGCUUGAGUAUCGGAGAGGAUGGGGGAAUUCCCGGUGUAGAGGUGAAAUUCGUAGAGAUCGGGAGGAAUACCAGUGGCGAAGGCGCCCAUCUGGACGGUAACUGACGCUGAGACGCGAAAGCGUGGGGAGCAAACAGG
This 253-nucleotide ribosomal RNA is filed under the name uncultured bacterium. RNAcentral describes it as "partial 16S ribosomal RNA". It matches the Rfam family "Bacterial small subunit ribosomal RNA", at positions 524 to 776 of the family's 1533-position model. The record is from RNAcentral.